UACGGGGGGGGCAAGCGUUGUUCGGAAUUACUGGGCGUAACGGGCGCGUAGGCGGCUUUUCAAGUCGGGCGUGAAAUCUCCGGGCUUAACCCGGAAGGGUCGUUCGAUACUGUUGAGCUAGAGUGUGGAAGAGGCAACUAGAAUUCCGUGUGUAGCGGUGAAAUGCGUAGAUAUACGGAGGAAUACCUGAGGCGAAGGGGGGUUGCUGGGCCAACACUGACGCUGAGGCGCGAAAGCCAGGGGAGCAAACGGG
RNAcentral lists this ribosomal RNA (253 nucleotides) under uncultured bacterium. RNAcentral's name for it is "partial 16S ribosomal RNA". It matches the Rfam family "Bacterial small subunit ribosomal RNA", at positions 524 to 776 of the family's 1533-position model. The record is from RNAcentral.